UAGUCUACGCCGUAAACGAUGGAUACUAGUUGUUUGGCUUUCGGGCUGAGUGACUAAGCGAAAGUGAUAAGUAUCCCACCUGGGGAGUACGUUCGCAAGAAUGAAACUCAAAGGAAUUGACGGGGGCCCGCACAAGCGGUGGAGCAUGUGGUUUAAUUCGAUGAUACGCGAGGAACCUUACCAGGGCUUAAAUGUAGUCUGACAGCUUUAGAGAUAGAGUUUUCUUCGGACAGAUUACAAGGUGCUGCAUGGUUGUCGUCAGCUCGUGCCGUGAGGUGUCAGGUUAAGUCCUAUAACGAGCGCAACCCCUGUUGUUAGUUGCCAACGAGUAAUGUCGGGAACUCUAGCAAGACUGCCGGUGCAAACCGCGAGGAAGGUGGGGAUGACGUCAAAUCAUCACGGCCCUUACGUCCUGGGCCACACACGUGCUACAAUGGUAGGUACAGAGGGUUGCCAAGCCGCGAGGUGGAGCUAAUCUCACAAAACCGAUCGUAGUCCGGAUUGGAGUCUGCAACUCG
RNAcentral lists this ribosomal RNA (518 nucleotides) under uncultured bacterium. RNAcentral describes it as "bacterial SSU rRNA". It matches the Rfam family "Bacterial small subunit ribosomal RNA", at positions 791 to 1314 of the family's 1533-position model. The record is from RNAcentral.